GAGGGUACAGCUCAGUGGCAGAGCGUGUGCUUAGCACGCACAAGGUCCUGGGUUCUAGCCCCGGUACCUCCA
This 72-nucleotide transfer RNA is filed under the name Camelus bactrianus (Bactrian camel). It matches the Rfam family "tRNA". From Rfam's summary of the family: Transfer RNA (tRNA) molecules are approximately 80 nucleotides in length. Their secondary structure includes four short double-helical elements and three loops (D, anti-codon, and T loops). RNAcentral also lists the same sequence under 1 other name. Lineage: Eukaryota; Metazoa; Chordata; Mammalia; Artiodactyla; Camelidae. The record is from Rfam by way of RNAcentral.